UACGGGGGGGGCAAGCGUUGUUCGGAUUCAUUGGGCGUAAAGGGUGCGUAGGCGGUAGGGUAAGUCUGGUGUGAAAUCCUGGAGCUUAACUUCAGAAAUGCACUGGAUACUGCUUUGCUAGAGGACUGGAGAGGAGAUUGGAAUUCACGGUGUAGCAGUGAAAUGCGUAGAUAUCGUGAGGAAGACCAGUGGCGUAAGCGAAUCUCUGGACAGUUCCUGACGCUGAGGCACGAAGGCUAGGGGAGCAAACGGG
RNAcentral lists this ribosomal RNA (253 nucleotides) under uncultured bacterium. RNAcentral describes it as "partial 16S ribosomal RNA". It matches the Rfam family "Bacterial small subunit ribosomal RNA", at positions 524 to 776 of the family's 1533-position model. The record is from RNAcentral.